This 464-nucleotide long non-coding RNA is filed under the name Equus caballus (horse). RNAcentral describes it as "lncRNA (ENSECAG00000048520.1)". The record is from RNAcentral. Lineage: Eukaryota; Metazoa; Chordata; Mammalia; Perissodactyla; Equidae.
UUCCUUACAGAGCCCCACAGGCAGCCCCGUGCAGGCCCUGCCAGUGAGUCCAGGGUUUUAUUUCAAGCCGUCCUUCCCCGUCAAGCUCAUCGCCUGCGUUUGGCCACACACUCGCAGCUCUCCGAGCACAGCUGGUUUUUUCCUCUUUGUUUACUCUUUCAACAAAAGCUGGAUUCUAGACCAAGCUGUUAAGUCCUGGAGAUGCAGAAAGGAACAAGACAAACACAGGCUCAGCCCUCCAAAGCUUUCAGACUGGGAAGAGAGCACAGCUCCUCUGCCCACCAUCAGCGCUGCAUGUCCAGAGCCCGGGUCAAGGCCAGGUGCAGGGGACGCACUCAGGAAAUGCGUGAUCAAAGCAAACAGCCAUUUUGGAGAAGUCAGAGGAACUUAUUCUAGAUGGGUCAAGAAAGUCCAUCCAGCGUCAUUGCAGAGCCUCCGCAUCAAGACAAUGAACUUUAGUCCUC